RNAcentral lists this ribosomal RNA (460 nucleotides) under uncultured bacterium. RNAcentral describes it as "partial 16S ribosomal RNA". It matches the Rfam family "Bacterial small subunit ribosomal RNA", at positions 338 to 795 of the family's 1533-position model. The record is from RNAcentral.
CCUACGGGUGGCAGCAGUGAGGAAUAUUGGUCAAUGGCCGGAAGGCUGAACCAGCCAUGCCGCGUGAAGGUCAGUGCCCUAUGGGCGUUAAACUUCUUUUGUGCGGGAGCAAUAAUGGUCACGUGUGGCCAGACGAGAGUACCGUACGAAUAAGCAUCGGCUAACUCCGUGCCAGCAGCCGCGGUAAUACGGGGGAUGCAAGCGUUAUCCGGAUUUAUUGGGUUUAAAGGGUGCGUAGGCUGUGAGGUAAGUCAGCGGUGAAAUGCCCCCGCUCGACGGGGUGAAGUGCCAUUGAUACUGCCUGGCUGGAAUGCGGAUGCCGUGGGAGGAAUGUGUGGUGUAGCGGUGAAAUGCAUAGAUAUCACACAGAACACCGAUUGCGAAGGCAUCUCACGAAGCCGCGAUUGACGCUGAUGCACGAAAGCGUGGGUAUCAAACAGGAUUAGAUACCCGUGUAGUC